Molecule: ribosomal RNA, 530 nt
Filed under: uncultured Actinomycetes bacterium
Lineage: Bacteria; Bacillati; Actinomycetota; Actinomycetes
Description: bacterial SSU rRNA
Rfam family: Bacterial small subunit ribosomal RNA
Source: RNAcentral
CGCGAAAGCGUGACGCAGCAACGCCGCGUGAGGGAAGACGGCCUUAGGGUUGUAAACCUCUUCAGGAGGGACGAAGGUCGGCACGUUAAUAGCGUGUCCGAUUGACGGUACCUCCACAAGAAGCCCCGGCUAACUACGUGCCAGCAGCCGCGGUAAUACGUAGGGGGCAAGCGUUGUCCGGAAUUAUUGGGCGUAAAGAGCGUGUAGGCGGUCCGGUAAGUCAGCUGUGAAAGUCAAGGGCUCAACCCUUGAAAGCCGGUUGAUACUGUCGGGCUAGAGUCCGGAAGAGGCGAGUGGAAUUCCCGGUGUAGCGGUGAAAUGCGCAGAUAUCGGGAGGAACACCAAUGGCGAAGGCAGCUCGCUGGGACGGUACUGACGCUGAGACGCGAAAGCGUGGGGAGCAAACAGGAUUAGAUACCCUGGUAGUCCACGCCGUAAACGAUGGGCACUAGGUGUUGGGGGUGUCGACUCCCCCGGCGCCGUAGCUAACGCAUUAAGUGCCCCGCCUGGGGAGUACGGCCGCAAGGCUA